Molecule: long non-coding RNA, 2919 nt
Organism: Gallus gallus (chicken)
Lineage: Eukaryota; Metazoa; Chordata; Aves; Galliformes; Phasianidae
Exons: 3
Source: RefSeq, a predicted model, not a curated record
GUACAAGCCCCAUAACCCCUCACCUCACGGCAUUUGAGCUCUGACCUGCAGGGUGGACACUGAACGAGACCUGCUUUCCCUUUGCCUUCAGGAUCUCACUGGUUUUGCUCAAGCAGAAAAGGCAGGAGCUGAACGUGAAUAUUACUUAGAUGUCUGCCGGGAAGGAGAGCAUUCUACAAGCAGUGGGUGAUGUCCUCAGCAACAACGGGAUCCAGGAGGAGAAGAGAGGGGAAAUUCUGCAGCUGACAAGAGAUGCAAUCAAGGUGAUUGAAAACUACAUCUGGAUGCUCGAUUGGGCUCUGAAAACCACAGCUGCUGGGCUUUCCAAGGAUCUCAGGGCCAUGUGGUCAUCCGGCUGCCAGAGAAAAUCCAGCCCAGAGCUUUCACCAUCUGGCACAUCUCCAGGGCAGUCUCUCCAUGUGGGGAAGUCAGCAGCGCCCCCGAAGAGUUUGCUGUCUCAGUAAGUCUCUGCCUGCUGCUUCUUCUGGAGGGACCCCGGGCCCGAGGAAGAGCUUUGCCAGAGAUGUCCUUCUGGUGGUGAGAUCUCCCAGAGACCUGUGGUGGGCUGCUGCAGAGCACUGCAUCCUGCCAAAGGGCAUGGAGAUGCUUGGGGUGGUUACACCUUGCGUUUCUUCUGGAUCGUGGACAGGAGCCUCAGCAUGCUCACCCAGCAUGCUCAGGGUGUCAGGAACUAAGAGCCAAAUGCCACACGGAGCAGCAGCCCUGGUGUCCAUCAGAGCUGCCUCUCACUGCCCAGUGAGUGCUCCCUCUCUGCUGCCUUUGAGUCGUGGCUGCUGCUUCCCUGGAGCUACAGCCGUGGGCAGCAGCGGCCCACUUUGGAGAGUGCUGCUCUCCUUAGAGUUCUACAAUGUCCUCUUGUGUCCAGCUGCCCUGGACAAGCCUCUCACGUUCCCUGAGAAGGGCAAGGGAGCAUUUCUGUGUGCUCAGGGAGGGACAGAUGAGAAGGAACAAGCCUUGCCCUCCGGCUGCCAUGCUCAGGACCUGCAGCCAGCACCCAGGUGGGGCUCUGCCUCCCUCCUCGCCUGCCCCCUCCUGUGAUGUCACCGCUGAUGCACUUGGUGACCUCAUGGUGCUGCUGGCCAGCACGUCUCCUGAAGGCUAGCCGGGCGCUGCAGAGGCAGUGACCCCGCACCACCACUCCAGCUACCUUCCCUCGGCCCACCCUUCCCCUGCCCCCCUGCCCUGUCCAGUUCCUGCUGGGAUGAGCAGUCUGGGGAUGCGCUUCCUGUCCCAGACAGCCUCCUCCAGCUGCCGGCCAGUCAGGCUUCUGUGACAGGAGAGUCCCCACCAUCAGCACCACAAUUUCUGUUGCCUUUCCUGCUUCUCCUUAUCUUCUCCUUUGGCUCCUUGUCCCUCGGGACCACACAUUCUACACUGAAAUAAAUCCCUUUAAUCUCUUAAGCCUCUCCCCUUCCUUGUAGAAUGUGUUACAUUUGGAGCUUACGGUGUUUGUGCUUGAAGUCUGUGACAAAGUGGGUGCUGAGACCUGCACUCCAUGGUGUGAAGGAGACCUCACAGAGAAAAGGUGAUGUUAAGUCCCUUAUCCAGAGAGCGUCAGCGAUGCCAUCUCCUUUGCAACCUCUUCGUGUGUGGUGAGAAGCAUCUGGGUCUCCCUCAUCUGUGGGGUCUCCAGCAUCCUCAAGGUCUCUCCAGUGGGUGUUUUCCCAUGAGAAACGAGGCCUGAAAGAAACUUCCUGCAGGCAAGAAACACGUAGGGCCUUCCUUUCUUGUGGAUUAGGCAAUGUGUAGUGAGGUUCAAGCUCGGGAUGAAGCUCUUCCUGCACUGCAGGCAUUUCUAAGGUCUCUACCUUGAGUACCUCUGGUACUUGACCAGGUUGGAGAUGUGCUUGAAGCUCUUCCCACACUCGGGACAUUUGCAGCACUUCUUCCAUGAGUGCUGUCUCCUGCAAGUGAGGAGCUCUGCACUCUGCAUAAAGCCCUUCUCACACUCAAGGCAUUUGUAAGGCUUCUUGCCAUGUGGACUCGUUAGCACACACAUGUGCACGGCUUCUCCCCAGUGCAGACAUUCUGGCACCUCACGAAGGUCAAGCAGUUCCUGAAGCUCUUCCUACAGGCUGCACAUUCACAGCAUUUUGAACGUGGAUCCACUGGUGUGCAGUGAGCUCCCAGUUCUGGACAUCCCUCUUCCUGCAGUCAAGGCACUCAAAGAGGCUCUACCCUGUGUUGCUUCACUGGGGUCUGCCGAGGGUGGAGCUGCAGCUGGAGCUCUUCCCACACUCCUUGUAGACAGACUUUCUUCCUCCCUGGUGACUUCUCAAUACAGCUGAGGCUUCCUUUGGGUCCUCACCUGCUGCCCCACGGCAUAUGGGUUUCUCUGAGGGUGAGAAGAGGUGACUUCCCCGGGCAUCUCCCUGCACGCAGGCGUGGCCGAAUUGUGCCACCCGGCAGAAUGACCCACUUGCUGACAUCCCAUGGGUGUCCAGUAUCUUUGCCAUAACCUGCUCUGGACCCUCCUUUGCAUGCGCACUCAACACCGUGUCUCCAGUGCCUCCAGAAAGCAGUGUGGGUUAUUCCCAUGCAAGGAAGGGGGACCCUGAUUUACUUUGGCCCCCGAGCUCUUCCUCUGCUUAAGGGAUUUGUAAGGUUCAUCACUGUGCAAAGUCACAGGCUUUGACCAGGCUGGGGCUCUGGCUGAAGGUCUUCCCACCCUUGGAGCACUGCAGCCUCUGUUGCCUGGGUGGACGUGCGGGUAGGUCAUCAGGCAGGAACUGCUUGUGAAGGUUCUCACAAACCUGGGGCACUGUGAUGGUCUGUCUCCUCUGUGGAUGUGCUUGUGGAAGCUGAGUUUAGAACUGUUUAUAAAGCCCUUCCCACACUCGGAGCACUUGUAGGGUCUCUCUCCUGUGUGGAUGCGGAGGUGGUUAACGAGGUCGGAAU